This 78-nucleotide transfer RNA is filed under the name Vibrio cholerae. RNAcentral describes it as "tRNA-Pro". The stretch from base 8 to 68 matches the Rfam family "tRNA", at positions 7 to 64 of the family's 71-position model. From Rfam's summary of the family: Transfer RNA (tRNA) molecules are approximately 80 nucleotides in length. Their secondary structure includes four short double-helical elements and three loops (D, anti-codon, and T loops). Lineage: Bacteria; Pseudomonadati; Pseudomonadota; Gammaproteobacteria; Vibrionales; Vibrionaceae. The record is from RNAcentral.
CAGCUUGGUAGCGCAGCUUGGUAGCGCACCGUCAUGGGGUGUCGGGGGUCGGAGGUUCAAAUCCUCUCAGUCCGACCA